RNAcentral lists this transfer RNA (74 nucleotides) under Megacopta centronubila. RNAcentral's name for it is "tRNA-Lys". It matches the Rfam family "tRNA". Rfam says of the family: Transfer RNA (tRNA) molecules are approximately 80 nucleotides in length. Their secondary structure includes four short double-helical elements and three loops (D, anti-codon, and T loops). Further hydrogen bonds mediate the characteristic L-shaped molecular structure. tRNAs have two regions of fundamental functional importance: the anti-codon, which is responsible for specific mRNA codon recognition, and the 3' end, to which the tRNAs corresponding amino acid is attached (by aminoacyl-tRNA synthetases). tRNAs cope with the degeneracy of the genetic code in two manners: having more than one tRNA (with a specific anti-codon) for a particular amino acid; and 'wobble' base-pairing, i.e. permitting non-standard base-pairing at the 3rd anti-codon position. The record is from RNAcentral. Lineage: Eukaryota; Metazoa; Arthropoda; Insecta; Hemiptera; Plataspidae.
CAUUAAGUGGCUGAAAUUUCCAAGCAUUGGUCUCUUAAACCAAAAUAUAGUAUAGUUAAGAAUACUCUUAAUGA